GGGUCACGUGGCUCCAGCCACACCCACCUCCCUGCUGUUCCUCACCCAGGAUCACCAAGGUCUCUCCUACCCCGGGGCCUGUGCACCUGCUGUGCCUCUGCUUGGGGUGCUCUUCCCAGGGCUUGCCCACCUCCUCAGAGAGGCCUCCUGACCCCUGACACGGCCUUGCCCUUCACCUCUAUCGUCCUUUAGAACAGCCCCCACCUCCCGCACAUCAUGCAGUUGCAGGUUCAAUGGCUACUGCUUGUCCUCCAGACUCCUCUCCACAAGCCAACAGCUCUCUCCUGGCUUUGAUUUUCAACCAUUUAAGUUGAAAAAAAUUCAAAACAAAUGAAAUGCACUUAAGAGAAAGCCUUGAGGAGUUCAGCAGGCCACCCAAAGUGAAGGGACUCCUUUGGGGGUCUUUGUUGUUAUCAAUUAUUUAUUGAGCCCUGAUGUGUUCCUGGCGCCACCAAGACCGAAAGGAGACAGGGUCCCUGCCCUGGGGCAUCCCAACAAAGAAGGGAGAGUUUGUGAAGCUUAAAAAUGUCCCAGAUGGAUAGGCCUCAUCACUCCUCAGAUGAUUCUCGAAGGAUAACACACAGGCCAGUGGGCAGCCCUAGGCCAGGGGGAUUACCAAGACAUGAAGACUUUCUUUCUGUCUCAGCAACCUUCAUGCUUGGUCAAGCAAAGGUGUUGCUUAAGUCAAACCCAGGGCAGGGGAGAGCAGUUGAAGCAAAGUGAGUCUUUGGAGGCCCUGUGGUUGUGGGGUCUGGUGUGGAGACAGUGAGAACGGAAAAGGUGGGAGAGGAGCAGUCAACCCGUGAAUGGCCCCAUUCAGACGCCUUUACCUGGAAGACGUGGCAGGUCUACUGGGGUUCAUCCCAUCUGAGCCAGGCCUGGCUUUUCUUGGCUGCAAGCUGAGAGCUGGGUCCAGGUCUGCUGAACCAAGGUUCUCCCAUCUUCCUUGAGCCAGUGACAAUCAGAGGCCUAUUUCUUUCAUGACGGAAGGCAGGAGAACAAGCAGGCAAGACCAGCUGUGCUAGCACAUGGCACCCCUUUCCCACAUCACACCUGCUAACAUCCCAUUGUUCAAAGCAAGUAACACAACCAAACCCAAUAUCAACAGGACAAGAAAACAGACUCCACCUCUAGGUGCACAAACUACAGAGUCACGGACAGAGAACACAGAUCUAGGGAAGGAAGCUGGAGAAUGAGAACAAUGACCCUCAAUAACACAACCUCCCACAGGUUUCCAAAUCCCCAACCUGAGCAUAUUUCCAAGGAAACGGAAUCAUGGGUUCAGGGUUUUAGAGCAAGCAAUUUCUGCUCUCCCAGCUUAGUUUCCAUACCCUUAACACAGGGGCAAUGACGUCGCAUCGAAUCAUAUCUUAUAAGUCUGUGAUGAUGUUUCAACAACUGAACGCCAGAAAAGUGCUUAGAGCAAGGCCAGGUAGGAGGGACAGAAGCCAAUAAUAAUGAGUAGCAUCACUGUUAACCCGCAAAAUUCUGGGAAUUUCCUCGAAAGUCUAAUUAGAGAAUCAUGUCCCCAACAA
Molecule: long non-coding RNA, 1535 nt
Organism: Homo sapiens (human)
Lineage: Eukaryota; Metazoa; Chordata; Mammalia; Primates; Hominidae
Product: long intergenic non-protein coding RNA 494
Source: Ensembl